CCUACGGGGUGCAGCAGUAGGGAAUAUUGCUCAAUGGGGGAAACCCUGAAGCAGCAACGCCGCGUGGAGGAUGAAGGUUUUCGGAUUGUAAACUCCUUUUGUUAGAGAAGAUAAUGACGGUAUCUAACGAAUAAGCACCGGCUAACUACGUGCCAGCAGCCGCGGUAAUACGGAGGGUGCAAGCGUUACUCGGAAUCACUGGGCGUAAAGAGCGCGUAGGCGGGAUAGCAAGUCAGAUGUGAAAUCCUAUGGCUUAACCAUAGAACUGCAUUUGAAACUGUUAUUCUAGAGUAUGGGAGAGGUAGGUGGAAUUCUUGGUGUAGGGGUAAAAUGCGUAGAGAUUAAGAGGAAUACUCAUUGCGAAGGCGACCUGCUAGAACAUAACUGACGCUGAUGCGCGAAAGCGUGGGGAGCAAACAGGAUUAGAUACCCGGGUAGUC
RNAcentral lists this ribosomal RNA (440 nucleotides) under uncultured bacterium. RNAcentral's name for it is "partial 16S ribosomal RNA". It matches the Rfam family "Bacterial small subunit ribosomal RNA", at positions 338 to 795 of the family's 1533-position model. The record is from RNAcentral.